UAUUUAUUUAUUUAUUUAUUUAGAGAUGGAACCUCACUCUGUCACCCAGGCUGGAGUGCAGUGGGGUGAUCUUAGCUCACUGCAACCUCCACCUCCCAGCUUCAAGCAAUUCUCGUGCUUCAGCCUCCGGAGUAGCUGGGAAUAUAGGUGUGCGCCAUACUCAGCCAGUUUUUUUUGUAUUUUUAGUAAAGACAGGGUUUCACCAUGUUGGCCAGGCUGGUCUCGAACUCCUGACCUCAGGUGAUCCGCCCACCUCAGUCCUCCAAAGUGCUGGGAUUACAGGCAUGAGCCACUGCACCUGGCCUGAAUUUUUUUUUUUUUUUUUUUAUUGUUCAUUCUUGGGUGUUUCUCGCAGAGGGGGAUUUGGCAGGAUCAUAGGACAAUAGUGGAGGGAAGGUCAGCAGAUAAACAAGUGAACAAAGGUCUCUGGUUUUCCUAGGCAGAGGACCCUGCAGCCUUCCGCAGUGUUUGUGUCCCUGGGUACUUGAGAUUAGGGAGUGGUGAUGACUCUUAACGAGCAUGCUGCCUUCAAGCAUCUGUUUAACAAAGCACAUCUUGCACCGCCCUUAAUCCAUUUAACCCUGAGUGGACACAGCACAUGUUUCAGAGAGCACAGGGUUGGGGGUAAGGUCACAGAUCAACAGGAUAAGAAUUUUUCUUAGUACAGAGCAAAAUGAAAAGUCUCCCAUGUCUACCUCUCUCUACACAGACACGGCAACCAUCCGAUUUCUCAAUCUUUUCCCCACCUUUCCCCCCUUUCUACUCCACAAAACCGCCAUUGUCAUCAUGGCCCGUUCUCAAUGAGCUGCUGGGUACACCUCCCAGACGGGGUGGUGGCCGGGCAGACGGGCUCCUCACUUCCCAGUAGGGGCGGCCCGGCAGAGGCGCCCCUCACCUCCCGGACGGGUCGGCUGGCCGGGCUGGGGGCUGAUCCCCCCACCUCCCUCCCGGACGGGGCGGCUGGUA
This 966-nucleotide long non-coding RNA is filed under the name Homo sapiens (human). Its description in RNAcentral is "HSALNT0392863". Lineage: Eukaryota; Metazoa; Chordata; Mammalia; Primates; Hominidae. The record is from RNAcentral.